RNAcentral lists this ribosomal RNA (253 nucleotides) under uncultured bacterium. RNAcentral describes it as "partial 16S ribosomal RNA". It matches the Rfam family "Bacterial small subunit ribosomal RNA", at positions 524 to 776 of the family's 1533-position model. The record is from RNAcentral.
GACAGAGGGUGCAACCGUUGUUCGGAAUUACUGGGCGUAAAGCGCGUGUAGGCGGCUUCGCAAGUCGGAUGUGAAAGCCCUGGGCUCAACCCAGGAAGUGCAUUCGAAACUGCAGAGCUGGAGUCCUGGAGAGGAAGGCGGAAUUCUCGGUGUAGAGGUGAAAUUCGUAGAUAUCGAGAGGAACACCGGUGGCGAAGGCGGCCUUCUGGACAGUGACUGACGCUGAGACGCGAAAGCGUGGGGAGCAAACAGG